UGUUAUUUGGCAUGAGGCUUUUACCCUGCAUGAUUGUUUGGCCUUUUAUGGCUCAGUGGUGUGUGUGUGUGUUUUGGUUUGACAUGAGAUGGAUGAUCUUUGAGCAUCUCUAGGGUUCUACUGUGUGUCUCUCACUCACACCUGGCAUGGGGUUCUACGUGCCUGUCCUGGGUUCUGUGUGUAUCCGGCUUGCUUUGACAGUGAUACUGUUCAUACGGGGGUUGGCUUGAGAUAUUGGAAUGGUCAACUAAAUCAUACCUGAUGGACGGCCACACGUUUACUUAAGGACCUCCAGUAGACAUGAAGAGCCCUGAGCGACGCUCCGGAGCGAUAUCCAACACACUGGGCAGGAAGGAGAGUAUCUUACUCAAGUGUAAAAGGAUGCAAGCAGCGUGUUCAGAUCAGUGACUUCCAACUAGGACUACACCAAUCAGGAUUAAUGGAGGAUGGACACCAAAAGGAAUUCCACAAGGAGAGUCUGACGUUGGAAAGGGACCUAAAUGGAUAUUCAAGAUGACCUUCAGACCUGUAAUGAGAUGGCUCUUCCUACCUGGCUGGAUUGAUGGAGAGCCCUGUGGAUCUUGUCUUGCUCUCAGUGCACGUCUUCUCAGGCUGAACUGUAUUUGUUUCGGACAGGACUAGCUGAACGAUUGGUUCCCAUAAAUCAGAACCAAUCCGGGAACUCCAGCUAGUGUGCUCUUCGAGCUGAAGUUGUGCUCUUCAGCUGAGGAAGUAAGGAAACCUUUACUGGGGAUUAAAGGUGUAAAGAGGAGAAUGUUUCAAAGUGUUCCAUGGUACUCUGUAGACCGUUGUUGUGUUCCACUGGUUAAGAGGAAGAACCCACACAUUUUCCUCUUGGCCUUUCUCCUCUGAGAAUCCUGGCGCCAUCUUGAAGGAUAUUCCAGCUCAUGUAACUGAUGUCACGACAGAUUCUCAAACACUUGGUUUCUCCUGAGGGGCGUGUCUAUAGAACUGAAGACUUCAGACAGCACUGUAUCCCAGCAUGCAUCUCUGCUCACUCAGACCACACCCCCAUGAGUAGGAUGCAGCACUCUAGUGAUGGAGAUGUAGAGUUUUAUAAGUAACGAGGGAGCAGACUAAGGCUGUAAAUCUUUAAACCAUGAGGAUGGUUGGAUAGUUCAGGAAUUGGGCUUGUUUUUAUUAUGGGCAGUGCUUUCACUCAGAUGCCCACUUCUCACUGGAGCUGUACAUGUGUUGGCUGGCUGGCAUGAUUUGCUGUUGGUGAUGAGGCGGUCAGGGUGACGUUGCAGGGCUAUGGUCGGCUCUCAGUGAGCUCAACGUUUAGAUUUGCUCUGUAUGGUUUGUACCCUAAAUAAUCUAGAUAAUUGUAAAAUGUAGACACUGUUUUGUAUUGAAUGAUUUUAUGUUUAAAGUUGUGGGACGUACAUGGUAGUUUGGUUCUUCAUGUGGUUUUGAGUGAUAUAACUUACACACUGGGUGCAUAAUAAUGUAAAGGUACACUGAAUAGUAGUAAUUACCAACAGCAACAAACGGAUCUCAUCAAGGUAAGUCUGUUGGCUGUGUUUUAAUGAAGACCACCGCUGGACUUCAGGAUCUUCCUCCGUUCAGCUCAAGGUGAGGCGCUGGUUCUGUUUUUUCUUUGGUUGGUUCCGGCCGGAAUGUUCGGAUUCCAGUCGGACGGUUUGUGCUUCCCGCCGUGGAAGGUUCUGAGUGCGGUCACCUGAUUUAGUCCCAAUGGUUAGCAUAGAACGUUGUAGUCUUGACAACCAUAAGGAACCACCUAGCAGUUAGUUGGACGGGAGUCCCCUGAGGGAAUCUGGCGGUACGUUCUGGAUUGUAUUUGCGUAACCUCAAGCCGUUUCCAACGGAAACAAUUUUUCAGUCGGUUUCCAUUGGGAAUUGUUGCCCCUAUCUUAAACAACUUAAAUUUCAUAUUAAAUACAUACUGACACGUACGUCGUACAAUAUGUUGGUGAUUUCCGAUGGUUGCGCCGUACUUUUAACCACGAUGACGUGACGGGACUCUCACUGCGUACAAAACAGCGUUCUACUUGCGGGCCCAUUUUUGACAUCAGGGAAGGCUGAAAAUCAUUUCAAGGUCGAAGAUAAUUUGACAUUUCUUCAACGGAACCCAGCACCUGAAUAUGGCUGAGUAUAUUUGAUUUAAUAUCGAUACUGCUUGGUGUUCUUUGUUACUUCAGCUUUUGUACGUUCUAAAUAUCUGCUGUCAUUAAUUGCCACAGAAGUUAAAUCCUACCCAAUGGAAUGACUUUAAACAACGACGUUGGUGCAGAGUUACCAACUGGAUAAUAUCAAAGCUAAAAUAAUGGCCGUCAUUCCCACAUGUUACAGUAGAAGAUACUCUAGAACUGUACAAGGUUAAAAAGGUAACGUGUAGUUUGUCCAAAGGUGUCUGCCUCCUCACCCAGAGCAAGACCUCCACCUCCUCACCCAGAGCCAGACCUCCACCUCCUGCCAGAAGUCCCCCAGAACAGACCAGGACUCUGUCUGAGGAGAGCUGCUGGAGGAGCUGAGACGCUGGAGGACGACUAGGAAUCGACCAACAAGGAUUCCUCUAGAACGUGUUUCUGGAGUGGAGGCGAGCUGGUAGGGGAGCCAUGAAUCUAGAGGAUGACAUCACUCUACCAACAAGGAUUACCAGGACUCUGGCUGAGGAGAGCUGAUGGAGGAGCCAAGAACUCUGGAGGACGACGACAUCACUGCACCAACCAGGAUCCUCAUCAGGAAUCUGGAGGACUGAUGGAGAAGCCGUACAUCUGGAAGGCAAAUCCUGAGGACCACCAGGGCUCUACCAUCAAGGAUUCCUCAUAAGUUUGCAUUAUCUGGACAUAGUAGACUAGACACACCUGAGCUGAACCUCACCUGAUCCUGUUUGGUCGGGGGUAGACACACCUGAGCUACACCGGUCCUGAUCCUGACAUCCUGCUGUUCCCAUCUCCUCGGUUCAUCUGAGCCUCGUCCUCCAGAAGACCUGCUGAGCUCGGCAGUCUGAGGCUGAUGGAUCAAUGACCUCCAGUGGGAGUGAUCUUCUUGACCUCACAUAUCAGGAAUCUGGAGGACUGAUGGAGAAGCCGUACAUCUGGAAGGCAAAUCCUGAGGACCACCAGGGCUCUACCAUCAAGGAUUCCUCAUAAGUUUGCAUUAUCUGGACAUAGUGUACUAGACACACCUCAGCUGAACCUCACCUGAUCCUGUUUGGUCGGGGGUAGACACACCUGAGCUACACCCGUCCUGAUCCUGUCAUCCUGCUGUUCCCAUCUUCUCGGUUCAUCUGAGCCUCGUCCUCCAGAAGACCUGCUGAGCUCGGCAGUCUGAGGCUGAUGGAUCAAUGACCUCCAGUGGGAGUGAUCUUCUUAACCCCACAUGUAACCGUGUGCUUCCACACGCCUUUCCCUCAUGUCUGUCACUAACCUCACUACUACACUUCUCUCUACUGCUUCCUCUUUUCUUCCUUCUCUGUGGUUCAAACCUUUACACUGAAGGCGCGUCUUCCUGCCCUCAGAGGGUUGAGCGUCAGGGUUGAGCGUCAGGGUUGAGCGUCAGGGUUGAGCGUCAGGGUUGAGAGUCAGGGUUUAGAGUCAGGGACAGAGCUGGUCAGGGAGGACUGCUUUUACACAAACCUCUUCACUUGCUUUCGGUAUGGUGGUGACAUUUUGAAAAGAUUCAUUUGGGAAAAUGUUUUUCUCUGCUUUCCUUUACAAAAUUGUAUUAAACUUCUGUCAAGUGUUUUUGUUUACAUAUUAAAAUC
Molecule: long non-coding RNA, 3751 nt
Organism: Gadus chalcogrammus (walleye pollock)
Lineage: Eukaryota; Metazoa; Chordata; Actinopteri; Gadiformes; Gadidae
Exons: 8
Source: RefSeq, a predicted model, not a curated record